CGCGGAGUGGAGAAGUGGUAUCUCGUCGGGCUCAUAACCCGAAGACCAUAGGUUCAAUUCCUAUCUCCGCAACCA
Molecule: transfer RNA, 75 nt
Filed under: Candidatus Altimarinota bacterium
Lineage: Bacteria; Candidatus Altimarinota
Description: tRNA-Met
Rfam family: tRNA
About the family: Transfer RNA (tRNA) molecules are approximately 80 nucleotides in length. Their secondary structure includes four short double-helical elements and three loops (D, anti-codon, and T loops).
Source: RNAcentral